Molecule: long non-coding RNA, 1265 nt
Filed under: Malus domestica (apple)
Lineage: Eukaryota; Viridiplantae; Streptophyta; Magnoliopsida; Rosales; Rosaceae
Description: long non-coding RNA (MDOM_LNC009069)
Source: RNAcentral
AAAAAAGGUUUUUUUUUUCUUUUAAAUAAAAUAGAUGAGUGUUUAGAGAUAAAACUUUGAAGUACAAAGCUAUUUUUCAUUUAAUGAGAAGAGUUUUAAAUUAUUGGGCAUUACUUGUUGACCUAUACCCAAAUAAUAAACAUAAUCCAUUGACUUGGUCCCAGAAAAAAUUUGACUCUUGAUAUAUGCCUGGAUACUCAAGAUUUCAUUGAUUUUAGCCUAAAUUCUCAUUUUUAGGGCAAUUACAAUUAGAUACAUUUUUUGUUACUAAAAUGAUUAAAAUCAAAUACCUACAACAUAUCGAUUAUAUUUCGACAACAUAUUGACCUUGUAUCAACGACACAAUGAUGAAAUAUCAAUGACUUGCUAAAAACGAAUUAUUUCAGCAAUUAAAUAUCAAAAGUAGUCAAAAGCCCUUUUUUAAGGGCAAUGCUUGUGUGCCCCUCAAGUUCUAUUGGGAACCUACUUGUCCCCCCACUUAUGAUUAACAUAUCUUUACCUAAAACAUUAUAAUAAGAACCAUUCAUUUUCUUUAUCAUCCUAUAGAAAUCAAAUAUGCAAAAAAUCAUUCAAUUUGGAGAUGUGUUUAGGCAUUCAUGAGCAUAAAACAAAUGGACGAUAUCAUGAGGAUGUUACUUGUUAGCUAAACCGUAGAUGAAUUUGCAACGCAUGGAUGGAUAAACGAUGUUCAAAUCAAAUGAUUUUUGCGAUAAGAUUUUUCAAUGAUGAGAAUGAACAGGUGAAGGUACAUUAACAAUAAGUGAGGGGAUUGCAAAAGUAAUAUAUUUUUUAAGAACAAUAUUUGGCUACUCAAAGAUGAGUAGGAACUCCUAAUCAAAACUCUUAGUAUUUUAAUCACAUAGCUUUGUGUUUAUGAUCAGAACCGUUCAUACUCUGAAUCACAUUAUAAACAUCAUUUUUGCAAAAAAAAAAUUAAAAAUAAGGUCGUUUAGUCAAUCUAUAGUACCAAAUACAUAGACGGUUCAUAAUGCUUUUACCAAUUCCGUUCAUUUGUUUUUAAACAGUUUGAUGACUAAACAAGCUUAGUUUUAUUGAUUUUUUUUUGCAGAAGCGAUCUUUAUAGAGUGAUUUAUAAUAUGAAUAGUUUUGAUUAUAAACACGAAGUUCUAUAAAUUGACGACAAACAAUUUUGAGAAAUUUUGAGUAGGAAUUCCUACUUAUAUUUGAGUAGCCAAGUAUUAUUCAUUUUUUAAAGAGUUAAUCUCAGUUUACUACCCUGAAGGUUCGUGGUUUUCAAUAUUUGG